UCGUAAAUCAAGGUAUGCAUCAAGUACGAGUACCCAUCCUUACUAGUAAUAUAGUAAGCCCCCUUUGAGAUUAGGUUAACGAAAUCCUCCUGCCUGGUUAGACGUAUAAGAAUAUGUUUACUCCGAAGUAAUCCAAUAUGACAACUACCGUUAACAUUGCAUUGCUGAGGAAUUAUUUUCCUCAAUUCUUCAAGAUCCGAC
RNAcentral lists this long non-coding RNA (201 nucleotides) under Solanum tuberosum (potato). RNAcentral's name for it is "long non-coding RNA (STUB_LNC011444)". The record is from RNAcentral. Lineage: Eukaryota; Viridiplantae; Streptophyta; Magnoliopsida; Solanales; Solanaceae.